This 404-nucleotide ribosomal RNA is filed under the name uncultured bacterium. Its description in RNAcentral is "bacterial SSU rRNA". It matches the Rfam family "Bacterial small subunit ribosomal RNA", at positions 128 to 518 of the family's 1533-position model. The record is from RNAcentral.
GCCCCCCGGCCCGGGAUAGCCCAGGGAAACCUGGAUUAAUACCGGAUGAGACGGGACCCGCGAAGGGCGGGACCCGGGAAAGGCGCUGCGGCGCCGCCGGGGGAUGAGUCUGCGUCCCAUUAGCUAGACGCGGGGUAAGGCCCACCGUGGCGACGAUGGGUAGCCGGCCUGAGAGGGUGGACGGCCACAUUGGAACUGAGACACGGUCCAGACUCCUACGGGAGGCAGCAGCUAAGAAUCUUCCGCAAUGGGCGAAAGCCUGACGGAGCGACGCCCCGCGUGAACGAAGAAGGCCGUGAGGUUGUAAAGUUCUUUUCGGGAGGGGGAACAACCGUGGCAGGGAAUGGCCGCGGGAUGACGUGAAUCCCGGAAUAAGCCCCGGCUAACUACGUGCCAGCCGCAGC